UACGUAGGUGACCAGCGUUGUCCGGAUUUACUGGGCGUAAAGCGCGCGUAGGCGGCUUUGCAAGUCGGAUGUGAAAUCCCCAGGCUUAACCUGGGAACUGCAUUCGAGACUGCAUUGCUAGAGUAUGGGAGAGGGAAGUGGAAUUUCCGGUGUAGCGGUGAAAUGCGUAGAUAUCGGAAGGAACAUCAGUGGCGAAGGCGGUUGCCUGGAGCUUUGCUGACGCUGAUGCGCGAAAGCGUGGGGAGCGAUCCGG
This 253-nucleotide ribosomal RNA is filed under the name uncultured bacterium. RNAcentral describes it as "partial 16S ribosomal RNA". It matches the Rfam family "Bacterial small subunit ribosomal RNA", at positions 524 to 776 of the family's 1533-position model. The record is from RNAcentral.